Molecule: ribosomal RNA, 420 nt
Filed under: bacterium
Lineage: Bacteria
Description: partial 16S ribosomal RNA
Rfam family: Bacterial small subunit ribosomal RNA
Source: RNAcentral
UGGGGGAUAUUGUACAAUGGGCGAAAGCCUGAUGCAGCGACGCCGCGUGGGGGAUGAAGGCUUUCGGGUUGUAAACCUCUUUCGCUAUCGAACAAGGCCCGCUUAGGGUGGGUUGAGGGUAGGUGGAGAAGAAGCGCCGGCUAACUACGUGCCAGCAGCCGCGGUAAUACGUAGGGCGCGAGCGUUGUCCGGAAUUAUUGGGCGUAAAGGGCUUGUAGGCGGCUUGUUGCGCCUGCUGUGAAAACGCGGGGCUUAACUUCGCGCGUGAAGUGGGUACGGGCAGGCUUGAGUGUGGUAGGGGUGACUGGAAUUCCAGGUGUAGCGGUGGAAUGCGCAGAUAUCUGGAGGAACACCGAUGGCGAAGGCAGGUCACUGGGCCAUUACUGACGCUGAGGAGCGAAAGCAUGGGUAGCGAACAGG